AGAGGUACUAUUCUUUCACUCGUGUCGGCAACCAUUGAGUGAUUGAUCAGUAUGGCUUCACGUGUUUUCUUCUUCAACAGAAAUCUUCGACAAAUUGUCCGUAAUUUCCACCAAGCUGAGUGUGCAUGUGACAGGUGUUGACGAGGCUGAAAAAGACUGGCGCCUCUUCGAUAUCUGGGAUUGGCGCUUCGACAAAUUGCCCGUGAUUUCCGCAAAGUUGAGUUUGCGCG
This 230-nucleotide long non-coding RNA is filed under the name Malus domestica (apple). Its description in RNAcentral is "long non-coding RNA (MDOM_LNC016633)". The record is from RNAcentral. Lineage: Eukaryota; Viridiplantae; Streptophyta; Magnoliopsida; Rosales; Rosaceae.